AUAAAACUGGCCUUGUAGCACAUUGUCUAGCUUACAACGAUGGGAAAGAGGCAUUGUUUAUGAUUUUACAACGUAUAUCUCAUGAGUUAUUGAUGCCGGAAUUCCGAAUCUGUGAAUAUCUUGCCAACUUUACCUAACUCAAGUGUGGAGCCAAACGACAACAAGAUUCUCAGAGGGCGGAGCCAGAGAGCAGUGAUUGGUCAGACCAUAGACGUAUAGAAGACAGCGCGCUAGCGGAUCUAGUCUGCUAUAUAUGUCUAUGGUCGGAACGUGUGGUAGCAUCUCUGGCUGCUGUUGACCUUGUUUUUGGAGUAAAACACGGUGGAAGCUGAAUUAGUGAGGAUGACUCCUGCUCCUGUCAUCUCUAAGCUCCUCACACAUCUUUUACCUGCACAUGAGGAAAAUCACUCCUGUAGAAUGCAGUGGUUCAUCAGAACCUCUGGGGAUGUCCUGUGGAUUCUGUGGAUCCUGUGGGUUGCAGGGUGGGUCCUACCUAGACCAGGCUGAUCCUGGACCAUCCCACAGAUGCUCAAUCAGAUCUGGAUGUGGGGAGUGUGGAACCCAGAUGCACAAUGAGGGACGUCUGCAGCGACUGAGAAAGAGUCUCACCACAUCCUGACAUGAGGAAAAAGACUUUAUUGAAGAUUACAAUGGGAAAAACUAUCAGACAGCAGACGGCUGCAUUCAAGUCUGUAGCUGCUGAAUUCAUGGAUGAAUCAUCUGACACUAGAGAGGAAGACCAUCAAACAUCCACGUCAGCUGAUGGAGGUCCAAGAGUCUCACCAAACAACCUACAGAGUGAAGACCUCCAAUCUGAUUGGACGGCCUCCUAUUCAGCCACGUGUGAACAAAUGCCUCUAAGUUGAUUUGUUUUCUAAAAUAAAUCUAGUUUGAGUC
Long non-coding RNA from Amphiprion ocellaris (clown anemonefish), 897 nucleotides. The record is from Ensembl. NCBI's taxonomy places the organism in Eukaryota, Metazoa, Chordata, Actinopteri, Pomacentridae.